GGCGAACGCUGGCGGCAUGCCUAACACAUGCAAGUCGAGCGAGCAGAUCCCUUCGGGGUGAAGCUAGCGGCGGACGGGUGAGUAACACGUGGGCAACCUGCCUCAUAGAGGGGAAUAGCCUUCCGAAAGGAAGAUUAAUACCGCAUAAGAUUGCAGCUUCGCAUGAAGUAGCAAUUAAAGGAGCAAUGCCGCUAUGAGAUGGGCCCGCGGCGCAUUAGCUAGUUGGUGAGGUAACGGCUCACCAAGGCGACGAUGCGUAGCCGACCUGAGAGGGUGAGCGGCCACAUUGGGACUGAGCCACGGCCCAGACUCCUACGGGAGGCAGCAGUGGGGAAUAUUGCACAUGGGGGAAACCCUGAUGCAGCAAUGCCGCGUGAGUGAUGACGGCCUUCGGGUUGUAAAGCUCUGUCUUCGGGGACGAUAAUGACGGUACCCGAGGAGGAAGCCACGGCUAACUACGUGCCAGCCGCCGCAGUAA
RNAcentral lists this ribosomal RNA (478 nucleotides) under uncultured bacterium. RNAcentral describes it as "partial 16S ribosomal RNA". It matches the Rfam family "Bacterial small subunit ribosomal RNA", at positions 28 to 523 of the family's 1533-position model. The record is from RNAcentral.